RNAcentral lists this ribosomal RNA (454 nucleotides) under uncultured bacterium. Its description in RNAcentral is "bacterial SSU rRNA". It matches the Rfam family "Bacterial small subunit ribosomal RNA", at positions 340 to 786 of the family's 1533-position model. The record is from RNAcentral.
UACGGAAGGCAGCAGUGGGGAAUAUUGCACAAUGGGCGCAAGCCUGAUGCAGCCAUGCCGCGUGUAUGAAGAAGGCCUUCGGGUUGUAAAGUACUUUCAGUCGUGAGGAAGGUGUUAAGGUUAAUAACCUUAGCAAUUGACGUUAGCGACAGAAGAAGCACCGGCUAACUCCGUGCCAGCAGCCGCGGUAAUACGGAGGGUGCGAGCGUUAAUCGGAAUUACUGGGCGUAAAGGGCACGCAGGCGGUUAAUUAAGUUGGAUGUGAAAUCCCCGGGCUUAACCUGGGAAUGGCAUUCAAGACUGGUUAGCUAGAGUCUUGUAGAGGGGGUAGAAUUCCAUGUGUAGCGGUGAAAUGCGUAGAGAUGUGGAGGAUACCGGUGGCGAAGGCGGCCCCUGGACAAAGGACUGACGCUCAUGUGCGAAAGCGUGGGGAGCGAAACAGGGAUUAGAUACC